Molecule: ribosomal RNA, 220 nt
Filed under: uncultured bacterium
Lineage: Bacteria
Description: partial 16S ribosomal RNA
Rfam family: Bacterial small subunit ribosomal RNA
Source: RNAcentral
GCAAGUCGAGCGCUCUCUUCGGAGGGAGCGGCGAACGGGUGAGUAACGCGUGGGAACGUACCUUUUGGUUCGGGACAACCCUGGGAAACUGGGGCUAAUACCGAAUAAGCUCUACGGAGGAAAGAUUUAUUGCCAAAAGAUCGGCCCGCGUUGGAUUAGCUAGUUGGUGAGGUAAUGGCUCACCAAGACUACGAUAUAUAGCUGUUCUGAGAGGAUAGUC